Molecule: ribosomal RNA, 492 nt
Filed under: uncultured bacterium
Lineage: Bacteria
Description: partial 16S ribosomal RNA
Rfam family: Bacterial small subunit ribosomal RNA
Source: RNAcentral
AGUGAACGCUGGCGGUAGGCCUAACACAUGCAGGUCGAACGGCAGCACAGUAAGAGCUUGCUCUUACGGGUGGCGAGUGGCGGACGGGUGGGGAAUACAUCGGAAUCUACUUUUUCGUGGGGGAUAACGUAGGGAAACUUACGCUAAUACCGCAUACGACCUACGGGUGAAAGCAGGGGAUCUUCGGACCUUGCGCGAUUGAAUGAGCCGAUGUCGGAUUAGCUAGUUGGCGGGGUAAAGGCCCACCAAGGCGACGAUCCGUAGCUGGUCUGAGAGGAUGAUCAGCCACACUGGAACUGAGACACGGUCCAGACUCCUACGGGAGGCAGCAGUGGGGAAUAUUGGACAAAGGGCGCAAGCCUGAUCCAGCCAUACCGCGUGGGUGAAGAAGGCCUUCGGGUUGUAAAGCCCUUUUGUUGGGAAAGAAAAGCAGCAGGUUAAUACCCCGCUGUUCUGACGGUACCCAAAGAAUAAGCACCGGCUAACUUCGUG